This is a long non-coding RNA of Peromyscus eremicus (cactus mouse), 377 nucleotides long. RefSeq lists it as uncharacterized. The record is from RefSeq and is a predicted model, not a curated record. The transcript has 3 exons. Lineage: Eukaryota; Metazoa; Chordata; Mammalia; Rodentia; Cricetidae.
CCUGCGUUGGCACCCACGGCAGACGCUCCUGGCAGGAUGCUGGCAAGCAUGAGAACUGCUCCCUCCUGCGUUUUCUGGCGCCAUGGGGGGAACUGCAGUCUUCCUGGGAAAUGACUAAAGAAACCAAUCUUUCCAAAGAACACACUUCGGGCUAUUAUGACUUCUACCUAAGACCUGACUGCUGAGAGAAGGCAAAGAAAUCCAGAAACAGAGAGAAGAGGGAAGGAAGCCAUGAUUGGGAUGGACCUGGUGUCUCAGCACUCUGUCUGGCUUUUACUUUUCGUUAUCUGUUUCUUCUAAUGUAUUUCAUUUGGGCCUACUCGGACCCACUGAUUUCUUUUUCCUCCAUUCAAAAAGUAGCAACAGAGAAUAAACAU